AACGAACGCUGGCGGCAGGCCUAACACAUGCAAGUCGAGCGAGACCUUCGGGUCUAGCGGCGCACGGGUGAGUAACGCGUAGGGAUCUACCCAGUAGCGGGGGACAACAGUUGGAAACGACUGCUAAUACCCCAUACGCCCUUCGGGGGAAAGAUUUAUCACUAUUGGAUGAACCUGCGUGACAUUAGCUAGAUGGUGGGGUAAUGGCCUACCAUGGCUACGAUGUCUAGCUGGUCUUAGAGGAUGAUCAGCCACACUGGAACUGAGACACGGUCCAGACUCCUACGGGAGGCAGCAGUGGGGAAUAUUGGACAAUGGGCGCAAGCCUGAUCCAGCCAUGCCGCGUGAGUGAUGAAGGCCUUAGGGUUGUAAAACUCUUUCAACGGUGAGGAUAAUGACGGUAACCGUAGAAGAAGCCCCGGCUAACUUCG
RNAcentral lists this ribosomal RNA (431 nucleotides) under uncultured Alphaproteobacteria bacterium. Its description in RNAcentral is "bacterial SSU rRNA". It matches the Rfam family "Bacterial small subunit ribosomal RNA", at positions 29 to 505 of the family's 1533-position model. Lineage: Bacteria; Pseudomonadati; Pseudomonadota; Alphaproteobacteria. The record is from RNAcentral.